Molecule: ribosomal RNA, 253 nt
Filed under: uncultured bacterium
Lineage: Bacteria
Description: partial 16S ribosomal RNA
Rfam family: Bacterial small subunit ribosomal RNA
Source: RNAcentral
UACGUAGGGGGCAAGCGUUGUCCGGAAUCAUUGGGCGUAAAGAGCGUGUAGGCGGCCCGGUAAGUCCGCUGUGAAAGUCCAGGGCUCAACCCUGGGAUGCCGGUGGAUACUGUCGGGCUCGAGUCCGGAAGAGGAGUGUGGAAUUCCUGGUGUAGCGGUGAAAUGCGUAGAUAUCGGGAGGAACACCGGUGGCGAAGGCGGCCCCCUGGUUGGAUACUGACGCUGAGACGCGAAAGCGUGGGGAGCAAACAGG